This 120-nucleotide ribosomal RNA is filed under the name uncultured bacterium. RNAcentral describes it as "partial 16S ribosomal RNA". It matches the Rfam family "Bacterial small subunit ribosomal RNA", at positions 29 to 159 of the family's 1533-position model. The record is from RNAcentral.
AACGAACGCUGGCGGCAUGCCUAACACAUGCAAGUCGAACGAAGCCUUCGGGCUUAGUGGCGCACGGGUGCGUAACGCGUGGGAAUCUGCCCUUGGGUACGGAACAACAGUUAGAAAUGA